RNAcentral lists this ribosomal RNA (464 nucleotides) under uncultured bacterium. Its description in RNAcentral is "partial 16S ribosomal RNA". It matches the Rfam family "Bacterial small subunit ribosomal RNA", at positions 28 to 507 of the family's 1533-position model. The record is from RNAcentral.
GACGAACGCUGGCGGCGUGCUUAACACAUGCAAGUCGAACGAUGAACCGGUUUCGGCCGGGGAUUAGUGGCGAACGGGUGAGUAACACGUGGGCAAUCUGCCCUGCACUCUGGGAUAAGCCCGGGAAACUGGGUCUAAUACCGGAUACGACACUCCGAGGCAUCUUGGGGUGUGGAAAGUUCCGGCGGUGCAGGAUGAGCCCGCGGCCUAUCAGCUUGUUGGUGGGGUAAUGGCCUACCAAGGCGACGACGGGUAGCCGGCCUGAGAGGGUGACCGGCCACACUGGGACUGGGACACGGCCCAGACUCCUACGGGAGGCAGCAGUGGGGAAUAUUGCACAAUGGGCGAAAGCCUGAUGCAGCGACGCCGCGUGAGGGAUGACGGCCUUCGGGUUGUAAACCUCUUUCAGCAGGGAAGAAGCGAAAGUGACGGUACCUGCAGAAGAAGCACCGGCUAACUACGUG